UAACGCGUAAAGAACUUGCCUCACAGUUAGGGACAACAUUUGGAAACGAAUGCUAAUACCUGAUAUUAUGAUUUUAGGGCAUCCUAAGAUUAUGAAAGCUAUAUGCGCUGUGAGAGAGCUUUGCGUCCCAUUAGCUAGUUGGAGAGGUAACGGCUCACCAAGGCGAUGAUGGGUAGCCGGCCUGAGAGGGUGAACGGCCACAAGGGGACUGAGACACGGCCCUU
RNAcentral lists this ribosomal RNA (224 nucleotides) under uncultured bacterium. RNAcentral's name for it is "partial 16S ribosomal RNA". It matches the Rfam family "Bacterial small subunit ribosomal RNA", at positions 111 to 334 of the family's 1533-position model. The record is from RNAcentral.